Molecule: ribosomal RNA, 778 nt
Filed under: uncultured Neocallimastigales
Lineage: Eukaryota; Fungi; Neocallimastigomycota; Neocallimastigomycetes; Neocallimastigales
Description: partial large subunit ribosomal RNA
Rfam family: Eukaryotic large subunit ribosomal RNA
Source: RNAcentral
AGAGAGAGACAUGCGCGCAUAUCAAUAAGCGGAGGAAAAGAAACUAACAAGGAUUCCCUUAGUAACGGCGAGUGAAGCGGGAAGAGCUCAAAUUUGAAAUCUUCAAGGUUUUACCUUGACGAAUUGUAGUUUAAAGAAGUGUUUUCUGCUGAAGUUUUGGUAAAAGUUCUUUGGAAUAGGACAUCAUAGAGGGUGAGAAUCCCGUAUUUGACCAUUAUUUUCAGCUUUGUGAUACACUUUCAAAGAGUCGGAUUGUUUGGGAAUGCAGUCCAAAAUGGGUGGUAAAUUUCAUCUAAAGCUAAAUAUUGGCGAGAGACCGAUAGCGAACAAGUACCGUGAGGGAAAGAUGAAAAGAACUUUGAAAAGAGAGUUAAACAGUACGUGAAAUUGUCAAAAGGGAAGCGUUUGACACCAGUGUUGUUUUCCUCGAAAAUCAAUUAAAAAUGGCUCGAUUUUGUAUUGCUUGAGACCUUAAAAGCUCACUGUACAUUUUUCGUGUCUUUUUUAAUGCACUUUUCGUUUAAACAAGUCAACAUCAGUCUCUUUUGUUGUAAAAGGGUCAUUGGAAGGUGGCUUUCUUUUCGGAGAAAGUGUUUAUAGCCUUUGGCCUCUGCAAUCGGAAGAGACUGAGGUCUGCAGCGUAGACUCUUCGGGGUUAGAUACAUUUGUGCUAAGUUAUAGCUUUUUAUAGACAACUUGUUGACUAUAAUUAGUCUUGUAGCUUACUCGCUUAUGCUAUUUUACCUACGCUUAGGAUGUUGAAGAUGUAGCACAUCAU